GACGAACGCUGGCGGCGUGCUUAACACAUGCAAGUCGAACGAUGACGACCGAGCUUGCUCGGUCUGAUUAGUGGCGAACGGGUGAGUAACACGUGAGCAACCUGCCCUUCACUCUGGGAUAACCUCGGGAAAUCGGGGCUAAUACCGGAUAUGAGCUCCUGUCGCAUGGCGGGUGUUGGAAAGUUUUUCGGUGAAGGAUGGGCUCGCGGCCUAUCAGUUUGUUGGUGAGGUAGUGGCUCACCAAGGCGAUGACGGGUAGCCGGCCCGAGAGGGCGACCGGCCCCACUGGGACUGAGAGCCCGGCCCGACCCCCAAGGGAGGGAGGAGGGGGGAAGAUUUGACAAAGGGGGGAAGGCCGAUGGCGGCGAGCCGCGUGGGGGAUGGAGGGCUUUCGGGUUGAAACCCUUUUUCCGCGGGAAGAAGGGGAAGGGAAGGGAACCGGCAAAGAAGCCCCGGCUAACCCAGUG
This 467-nucleotide ribosomal RNA is filed under the name uncultured bacterium. RNAcentral describes it as "partial 16S ribosomal RNA". It matches the Rfam family "Bacterial small subunit ribosomal RNA", at positions 28 to 507 of the family's 1533-position model. The record is from RNAcentral.